UUCCAUAUAGUCUAGGCGGUUAGAAUAGCUGGCUCUUGCCCAAGCAGACCCUGAAUCGAGUCCCGGUGUGGGAA
Non-coding RNA from Phytophthora infestans T30-4, 74 nucleotides. The record is from the annotation of a RefSeq genome assembly. NCBI's taxonomy places the organism in Eukaryota, Oomycota, Peronosporomycetes, Peronosporales, Peronosporaceae.